Molecule: ribosomal RNA, 370 nt
Filed under: unidentified archaeon
Lineage: Archaea
Description: bacterial SSU rRNA
Rfam family: Archaeal small subunit ribosomal RNA
Source: RNAcentral
UCAGUAACACGUAGUCAACCUAACUCGUGGACGUGGAUAACCUCGGGAAACUGAGAAUAAACCACGAUAGAUCAUAGUGCCUGGAAUGGCUUAUGGUUCAAACAGUUUACUGCCAUGGGAUGGGACUGCGGCCUAUCAGCUUGUUGGUGAGGUAAUGGCCCACCAAGGCGAUUACAGGUACGGGCUCUGAGAGGAGAAGCCCGGAGAUGGGUACUGAGACACGGACCCAGUGCCCUAUGGGGCGCAGCAGGCGAGAAACCUUAGCAAUGUGCGAAAGCACGACUGGGUCAGUCCGAGUGAUUCCUGAUAAAGGAGUCUUUUGCUUGUCCUAAAAGCACAGGUGAAUAAGGGGUGGGCAAGUCUGGUGCCA